This 116-nucleotide ribosomal RNA is filed under the name Bacillus glycinifermentans. Lineage: Bacteria; Bacillati; Bacillota; Bacilli; Caryophanales; Bacillaceae. RNAcentral also lists the same sequence under 1 other name. The record is from RNAcentral.
UCUGGUGAUGAUGGCGAAGAGGUCACACCCGUUCCCAUGCCGAACACGGAAGUUAAGCUCUUCAGCGCCGAUGGUAGUUGGGGGAUUCCCCCUGCGAGAGUAGGACGUCGCCAGGC